UUGUAAAUGUUUUAAAAUCUUAGUCCUUAUUUGGAAUACAUUUUCAAUAACUUACUAUAACACACCCUGCAUAUAUUAUUUAGAUAGUUAUUUUAAUUUUGACAAACUGUUAAUUUCACAUUCUUCUUUAACAGUUAAUUUUACACACUGAAAGAGUAUCGGAAUAGUAAAUGUUGACAAUGCCGCUUUUAAAAAAUUACAUAGAUACAAUAUGUAACAGAUAAUAUAAUAUAAAUAUUUGAACGGAUGUUUUUACGUUAGGUUCGUCCGACCCUCCUCCUGGAUUAUCCUCGCUUUCUAUUGGCUAGUCAGCGCUCUACACCUACGUGUGACUGGCCCCCGCGUGGCAGGUGAGAAUUCUACCACUGAACCACCAAUGCUUAUCUUAAAAAUCCAUGGACUUCGCAGAGUGCGAUUUAAAGCUGAGUACUGUGCUGCUUCAGCAAUUUGGUUUAAAAUUCUAAAGGAGAAUCUCUUCCAUAUUUCAGCAGCAUGGAGUUUGUCCAUUACCCUAGUUUUGGGCAGAAUUGAUAAGGCUUGUUAAGUGCUUUGGGUGAAGGCUCAAGCAACACAAACGUCUCCAAAACUCAGUUGUGCAUUGGCCUGGAAUCUAACCCGGACACACACAGAGGGCGCUUUCCAGGUAAGUAUUGUGCUGACUCAGCAAUUUGGUUUCAAAAUUGACAAGGAGCAUCCUAAGGCUCUUGUAUAUUUGAGUAACAUGGACUGUGUCUGCUACCCUUUUUUUGGACAGAAGUGAUAAGGCUUGCAGAGUUCUUUGGGUGAAGGCUCAAUAUUCAAAAGUCAGUCGUGAGUGGCCAGGAAUUGAACCCCGGCCUCACGCAUGGUAGGUCAGAAUUUGACCACUGAACCACCAAUGCUUAUCUUAAAGGAUUAAGGACAAUGCAGAGUGUGCUUUUCAUUAAGUAUUGUUCUGAUUAAACAGUUUGGUUUCAAAAUAGAAAAGGAGCAUCCUAAGUCUCUUGUAUAUUUCAGCAGCAUGGAGUUGGUCUAGUUUGGGCAGAAAUGAUAAGGCUUGUAAUGUUCUUUUGGUGAAGGCUUAACUUUCAAAACUCACUUCUGCAUUGGCCGGGAAUUGAACCCGGGCCUCCCGCGUGGCAGGCAAGAAUUCUACCACUGAACCACCAAUGCUUAGUUUAAAUCACUAAAGACUUCGCAGAGUAAGCUGUUCAGGUAAGUAUUGUGCUGCUUCAGCAAUUUGGUUUCAGAUUUGAAAAGGAGAAUCCUAAGUCUCUUCCUUAUUUCAGCAGCAGUCACACACUAUAUUUCCAGAUACUGUAUAAUAUUAUAAUAUCUCCUCUCUGCUCAACACGCAUGUAAUACAGUCUACAUACCGUAGAGCAGUGUUUUUCAACCACUGUGCCGUGGCACACUAGUGUGUCGUGAGAGAUCGUCAGGCGUGCCUUGAGAAAUUGUCCAAUUUCACUUAGUCUUAAAAUUCUUUUUUAUUAAAAUUUAUUCAUUAUUAUCUGCAAAUAAUAAGCCAUUGUUGCGUGUCUGUGCUGUAAUAUAGUGACUGGCAGAGCAAUGUAAUAUUCGUCCGGGUGGCAGCAGGUAAUUGCCUCCUACCUUCUUAGAGACAAGAGAAUUAGUGACGCAUGCGACAGGUCGUGGUGGCAGUGAUGGAGAAGUUUUUAAAAAGGAAAAAUGCAAACUCCGAACUGGGCCCUGGACAAGAUUGUGACCCAGGUGAAGGGCCUAGUAUGAGUGGUGGUAAAAAGAAAGCAAAGACGGUGAGCUCGAGGCAAUACAGCGAAAGCUAUCUUUCGUUAGGAUUUACUUUCACCAGCAAUGAGAUGACCCCGACUCCAUUAUGCUUGGUGUGUGGCGAGAAGCAGUCCAAUAGCGCCAUGGUGCCAAGCAAGCUUAAACGCUAUCUCCAAGCGAAACACCCGUCGCUUCAAAACAAGCCGAUGGACUAUUUUGUUUGCCUGCGUGAAAACACCGAAACAGGCAACAUUAAUGAGAAAAACCACAAAGGUAAAUUAGAAAGCCCUCAAAGCUAGUUGCUGAACUUGUAGCUAAAUGAAAAAAGCCCCACACUGUGGCAGAGACGUUAAUACUACCUGCCCGCAAAGACACUGUCAACGAGAUGCUCGGCCCUGACGCGGUUAAAGACAUAUCUAAACUCCCGCUCUCAGAUAACACAAUCGCCAGAUGUAUUGAUGACAUGUCUACAGACAUCGAAAGCCAUGUUUUGGAAAAGAUACGCAUCAGUAGGAAAUUUGCGUUGCAACUUGAUGAGUCUACGGAUAUUCUCAGCUCUUGGCCAAUGUGCGUUUUGUGGAUGGAGAUGCCAUUAGAGAAAACUUCCUAUUUUGCAAGGCACUGCCAGAAAAAACAGCAAGAGAGGAAAUUUUUUGGGUCAAAUCGGAAUAUCUUGACCAGGGAGGACUUACGUGGGAAAAUUGCACAAGUGUUUGCACUGAUGGAGCUGCAGCCAUGGUCGGGCACACCUAAGGCUUCGUUAGCAGAGUGAAGGAAAGAAACCCAGAUCUUAUUGUUACACACUGUUUUCUGCACCGUGAGGCCUUCGUUGCAAAGACUUUACCAGCAGAACUAGUUCCUGUGUUGGAUGAUGUUGUGCGCAUAGGGAACUUUGUAAAGACACGACCUUUGAAAAGGCAUAUUUGCAUCUUUGUGUGAGGAAAUGUGAGUGGAGCAUAAAGCCUUAUUGCUCCAUACGGAGGUCCGAUGGUUGUAGCGUGACAAGUUGCUGGCCCGUGUGUAUGAGCUGCGGGAGGAACUUAAAGUGUUUCUGACAAAUGAGAGGUCUGAUUACUCAAAUCUGUUUGAAAGUGAUGAGUGGUGUGCAAAGCUGGCAUACCUGGCAGAUAUAUUUCAUCAUCUGAAUGAACCAAACACACGGAUGCAAGGCCGAAAUGAGAACCUGCUUACAAGCAUGGAUAAAAUAAAUGGAUUCCAUUUAAAGGUGCACCUCUGGCAACAACAUGUGCAAAGUGCCAACCUUGAGAUGUUCCCACUCACAGAGGAACGGCAAGAUCACCCUGCUGCACUGUGCGAGGUAAUAGUUAAACAUCUGAAAACUCUUGAGGAGAAGUUGUCAUUUUAUUUCUCUUCAGCCUCCACUGAAUGCCUUGACUGCUGUUGGAAAGGACAUGACUUUACAGGAGCAGGAGGAACUAACUGAACUGAAACAAGAUCGUGGUUUAAAGCUAAGAUUUGCUGAACUUCCUUUGGACAGUUUUUGGUUGACUGCUGCCAAGGAAUUCCCCAUUCCGGCCAACAAAGUUUUGACAUUGCUCCCAUUUUCCACAACAUGUGUGUGAGCUGAGCUUUUCAAGCCUAACUGCUAUAAAAACUAAAAACAGAGAGAGACUGAAAGCUGUUGAAGAAGAGCUUCGUGUAUGCCUUUCUUCAAUUCCUGCCAGGAUAUCGGCUUUGUGUUCAUCUAAACAGGCCCAGGUUUCACACUGAGAAGCUGCCUUAAUCACGAUGAACCCAGGCUACGCAGGCAGGACCGAGCUCCGGGACAACCUGGAGGCCGCUUCAGAUCCGUCUCCAUGAUUGUGCCCGACCACGCCGUCAUCGCAGAGGUGGACUUGUGAGCUGAGGGCUUCAAGUCCAGUGAGACUCUGGCGAAGAAGAUGAUUCAGCUGUAUAAGCUGUGCAGCAAGCAGCUUUCCCGGCAGGACCACUACGACUUCACCAUGAGAGUCGUCAACUCUGUUAUCGUCAUGGCCGGGUCUCUGAUGCGAGAGAACCCACACCUGAGUGAGAACGUAGUGUUGAUUAGAGCGCUACGAUACUCCAACCUGCCCAAGUUACUCAAGGAUGACGCAGAACUUAAAAUAAAAUAAAUUGAUAAAUAGUAAAGAACGCCAAAGCUUACAUAUGGAGUAUCAAAGGUCAUUAUCACAGGAUCACUGGAAUCAGGCACUAGGAGGAAAUUCCAGGACAAAUUAGGAAAUACAAUUAACUGACAUUUGCAAAUUCUUUGCAACUAAAAAGCUGUAAUUAUAUACUAUAUAACUUUUUUUUAAAGCAUUUAAAGUAUAUAACAUUAGCACCUUGUAAUGUUAUACCAGAUGAAAAGUAAAGAAUCCUGGAACAUCUGAACAUCCAUAAUCUGAAAAUCUUGAACCUAGUGUCAAUCGAGUCAAUCCAAUCCUUCUUGUGUGCGUUUAGCGGUAUUCUGUCGGACCUCUUUCCUGGCGUGGGCGUCCCCGAGCAUGACUACGGCGCGCUUCAGUCGAACAUCGAGGCAGCUCUAUGCGCCCGCUCCCUGCAGCCCGUCUCCAGCAUGACCGCCAAGGUGAUCCAGCUGUACGAGACCAUGCUAGUGCACCAGGGCGUCUUGCUGGUGGGCCCUACAAGAGGCGGUAAAACCACAGCGUACCGUGCCCUCGCUGACGCACUGCGCACCCUCCACGAGACAGAGGGCUGCGAGGUGAAUCUCUUAUACAAGCCCAUCGAGACCGACGUGCUCAACCCGCAGUCAGUGAGCAUGGACGAGCUGUAUGGUGAAGACGACCCUCUCACAUGGGAGUGGAGUACCAUCAAACCGUCUCUCGGCAGUGACAUCGCCGACACGCACAAGUGGGUGGUGAGUGACGUACCUGUGGACGUGCCUGUGGAUUGAGAAAAUUACCUCCGUGUUGGACAACAACAAGACGCUCUGUCUGGCUAACGGUGAAAGGAUCAAGCUCACACCUUCUACACACAUGUUAUUCGAGGUGUUACCCAUCAGACACAGGUAGCAUCGGUCCUAAAAACCAUCACAAACAAGCACAAGCAUGUCAUUUCCAAGAAGAUUUUUUUUUUACAUUAAACGCGUUCCUGAUGGAAAGGUCACACACAAACGUAUCUUUAAGACUUCACUCUUUCACACGCCUAUAACGAGCGAUAAACGCAUUCGAAGCAUGUUAUAAAGCCUCCGUAAUGCAUUACGCAUAGUAUUUAAAUAAAUAUUAUUAUAAUAACAUGCACUACACUACAUUAUGCAUUAUGAAUUCUUAACGUAUUGUUAACACGUCUUUACUGUGAGCGGGAUGAUGACCAGACGGAGGCAGGCUCCCAGGUACUCAUAUCCGUAGACGUACUGAUACAGAGCCAUUCUGGCCACGCAGUUAUCCAGAUCCACGUCCCAGUAUUAGCACAGCUGCCUCUGCCACUCAAAGUUACUGCUCGAGUCCACCUACGUGAACACAUACACAAAGACAUGUGAUAUAUAUACGAUCUCAUUGUAUACGAAUUGGGCAUUCUCGCUGACGAUAUAGCAUGGAUAGUUUAUAAUGAGUGCGUUCAUACUGUAUAAACCUGGGAACUGAUUUGCAUAUGCACUGCUGUCAGAGCUGCCGUUAUUUUUAAAAGAUUUAUUAACAGCUUCUGACCAAUCAGAUCUGACCACACCCAUGAUUCCCUUCGCUCUGAAGAGAAGGUGUGUAGCUGUCUGUACCCUUUCAUUGACGAGCUCCGUGACAAUGUCUCUGGCGUGGACAUCCACAGUAAUGAGAGCUGUGAUGAUGCUCUGAUGUAUUUUGGGUAAGUUACCCAAGAGUGGCCAACACAUUCAGCCUCUGUAUAAACACACACACACGCACAGAGUAAUAUUACAUAUUACAUCAUACACCAUUAUGUCAUGUAAUCAGAGAAGGAAAUCUGAACUACAGUUCCCAGCAGCCACUGCAUCACAGUCACAUGACCACCUGCACCUGGAUCACAUUCCUGGUAAGCACUUGUGUAUUUAGCCAGUUUUCACUGCACUCUUUGUCUCACGUUUGUCUUUCUUUACCUUUGUCCCUGGUGCUGUGUUUUUUUCUUUGGUUUAUGUUUAGUCUUUGCCACAGUGAUUUGCCCCAAUGUCAGUGUCUUUUGUAUUUUGUUUAGUUCUUUAUUAAACUUGAAAAAUCUGCACUUGCA
Molecule: long non-coding RNA, 5904 nt
Organism: Ictalurus furcatus (blue catfish)
Lineage: Eukaryota; Metazoa; Chordata; Actinopteri; Siluriformes; Ictaluridae
Exons: 4
Source: RefSeq, a predicted model, not a curated record